GUGAACGCUGGCGGUAGGCCUAACACAUGCAAGUCGAACGGCAGCACAGUAAGAGCUUGCUCUUACGGGUGGCGAGUGGCGGACGGGUGGGGAAUACAUCGGAAUCUACUUUUUCGUGGGGGAUAACGUAGGGAAACUUACGCUAAUACCGCAUACGACCUACGGGUGAAAGCAGGGGAUCUUCGGACCUUGCGCGAUUGAAUGAGCCGAUGUCGGAUUAGCUAGUUGGCGGGGUAAAGGCCCACCAAGGCGACGAUCCGUAGCUGGUCUGAGAGGAUGAUCAGCCACACUGGAACUGAGACACGGUCCAGACUCCUACGGGAGGCAGCAGUGGGGAAUAUUGGACAAUGGGCGCAAGCCUGAUCCAGCCAUACCGCGUGGGUGAAGAAGGCCUUCGGGUUGUAAAGCCCUUUUGUUGGGAAAGAAAAGCAGCAGGUUAAUACCCCGCUGUUCUGACGGUACCCAAAGAAUAAGCACCGGCUAACUUCGUG
RNAcentral lists this ribosomal RNA (491 nucleotides) under uncultured bacterium. RNAcentral's name for it is "partial 16S ribosomal RNA". It matches the Rfam family "Bacterial small subunit ribosomal RNA", at positions 29 to 507 of the family's 1533-position model. The record is from RNAcentral.